Molecule: ribosomal RNA, 399 nt
Filed under: uncultured bacterium
Lineage: Bacteria
Description: partial 16S ribosomal RNA
Rfam family: Bacterial small subunit ribosomal RNA
Source: RNAcentral
AAUAUUGGGCAAUGGGCGCAAGCCUGACCCAGCAACGCCGCGUGAGGGCAGAAGGCCUUCCGGUUGUACUCCCCUGUCCCAUGGGACGAAGAAGUGACGGUACCAAGGGAGGAAGCUCCGGCUCACUACGUGCCAGCAGCCGCGGUCAUUCGUCGGGAGCAAGCGCUGUCCGGAAUUACUGGGCGUAAAGGGUGCGUAGGCGGUGAGCCAAGUCAGAUGUGAAAUCCCCGGGCUUAACUCGGGUGUUGCAUUUGAAACUGGUUGACUUGAGUGCAGGAGAGGAAAGCGGAAUUCCUAGUGUAGAGGUGGAGUGCGUAGAUAUUAGGAGGGACACCAGUGGCGAAGGCGGCUUUCUGGACUGUAACUGACGCUGAGGCACGAAAGCGUGGGGAGCAAACA